This 617-nucleotide long non-coding RNA is filed under the name Brassica napus (rape). RNAcentral describes it as "long non-coding RNA (BNAP_LNC007837)". Lineage: Eukaryota; Viridiplantae; Streptophyta; Magnoliopsida; Brassicales; Brassicaceae. The record is from RNAcentral.
GAAAUAUGCCAGGAAACAUUGGAAUUGAUGCCUCAGCAGCUUACCCGAAGGUUUUGGUGGCGAUUUCUGCCAAGAAAGGGAUCCUCUAGCAGAAUCAUUUCUGAAGAUGAGAUCAUGAUCACCGUGAGUUCACCAGGGGUCAAAUCAUUUCUGAAGAUGAGAUCAUGAUCACCGUGAGUUCAGCAGGGGUCAANNNNNNNNNNNNNNNNNNNUCAGCAGGGGUCAAGCGAAGAACAAUUGUGAAGAUAAAACCAACUUCCAUUGCCAAAGGGAAGAAAUUGAGGGAUGCUGGGGUGCCACCAGGUCUACGUAACAAUCACCUGAAAGUCUAAAUCGCCUUAAACACCAAUCAAGUCAGCCUGACACCAACUCCUAACAGCCACCAUAUGAAGAGUUGUCCAUGACACAUCUAUCAAGCUUUUACACUUCCAAUUACGGCCACCGUCCAAGACGUUUUGUUUUAAAGAUUCACCCUUAGAACCAUCUACCAUUGCUGAAACAGAGGAGCUUGUUCGCAUAUAAGAUUAGUGCUAUAAAUACAUGGCCUUCUAAACCAUCAUAACACAACCAAGAAAAGUUGUAAUAUCCUAGAGAGAUUUGUUAGGAGUUUGUUUUGA